RNAcentral lists this long non-coding RNA (919 nucleotides) under Amborella trichopoda. RNAcentral's name for it is "long non-coding RNA (ATRI_LNC001849)". The record is from RNAcentral. Lineage: Eukaryota; Viridiplantae; Streptophyta; Magnoliopsida; Amborellales; Amborellaceae.
AAAUGUUAUGUGUAUUUCAUAGAUCGAACCUAACAAAUUACAACAUACACUUUAUUCAAAACAACAAAAAAGAAGAGAGAGAGAGAGAGAGAGGUAGGAAGAACAUUCAUAAGGGAAACUUAUGAACUCAUGCCGGAAAGCGGUACAUGUGGGAGCGAGUAGCAUCCAGAAAAUAUCCACCCUAUACCUAUAAACUUCAUAGAAUAGAGAGAGAAAGGCCUUCCAUGAAUAUCCGCCGCUUACAAGAGAGAGAAGGGGAAAUGAACACUUAAAGCAGAGAGGCAAUAACGAUCAAACAGAAACAGAGAGUUCAACGCUUCAAGCAGAUAGAGAUGACGCUUAAGCAGAGAGUGAUACGAUCAGAAAGAGAAAAGCUGACAUUUCACAAAAUUAAAGUACUCAACUCCUCCCUCUCUUUCUCUCUACUGUUGCUGCUGAAGUUGCACCAUCUGCGCGCUACCGGUAGCGGGAAUGCUACCAGGCAGAUGCGGAGCAUAUGGUUCCGGCACCUUUGUCACGCACCAAUGGUACCAUGCCGUGAAGCCAAAAGCGAUCAACAUAAACACCCCCAAGAGGCCGAAGCCUGCCCACAUCGAGAAAUCUGGGGUAAACAUUAACCCUGCGGUGAUCACCAAUCCCGCCGCGGACACAAGAACCGCCACAAUCGUUAUCCUCCCCGCAUGUGCUUCCUCCAUCCUAAAUCUGUAUUCUUAAGAGAGGGAGAGUCUCCUAAUCUUAGGUAUGAAAGAUAUUGUAGAGAGAGAGACAGAGAGAGAGAGUAGGCGUUCUUGAUUUUCUUGGAGGAGGAAGAAGAAGACGGAGGAGGAGAAGAAGAGUAGGAAGAUAAUGCAAGAGAAAGAGAGGGAGGGGUGUUUGUUGAUCGGAGGAAGGACAACAAGUAUUUAGAGAGAAAGAGAGA